RNAcentral lists this ribosomal RNA (468 nucleotides) under uncultured bacterium. RNAcentral describes it as "partial 16S ribosomal RNA". It matches the Rfam family "Bacterial small subunit ribosomal RNA", at positions 28 to 507 of the family's 1533-position model. The record is from RNAcentral.
GACGAACGCUGGCGGCGUGCUUAACACAUGCAAGUCGAACGGAAAGGCCCUGCUUUUGUGGGGUGCUUGAGUGGCGAACGGGUGAGUAACACGUGAGUAACCUGCCCUUGACUUUGGGAUAACUUCAGGAAACUGGGGCUAAUACCGGAUAGGAGCUCCUGCUGCAUGGUGGGGGUUGGAAAGUUUCGGCGGGUGGGGAUGGACUCGCGGCUUAUCAGCUUGUUGGUGGGGUAGUGGCUUACCAAGGCUUUGACGGGUAGCCGGCCUGAGAGGGUGACCGGCCACAGUGGGACUGCGAUACGGACCAGAAUGCUACGGGAGGCAGCAGUGGGGGAUAUUGCACAAUGGGCGGAAGCCUGAUGCAGCAACGCCGCGUGCGGGAUGACGGGCUUCGGGUUGUAAACCGAUUUCGCCUGUGACGAAGCGUGAGUGACGGUAAUGGGUAAAGAAGCACCGGCUAACUACGUG